Molecule: transfer RNA, 70 nt
Filed under: Phytophthora infestans (potato late blight agent)
Lineage: Eukaryota; Oomycota; Peronosporomycetes; Peronosporales; Peronosporaceae
Description: tRNA-Gln
Rfam family: tRNA
About the family: Transfer RNA (tRNA) molecules are approximately 80 nucleotides in length. Their secondary structure includes four short double-helical elements and three loops (D, anti-codon, and T loops).
Source: RNAcentral
GCUCUUAUGGUGAAAUGGUUAGCACUCUGGACUUUGAAUCCAGCGACCGGGCUCAAUCCCGGUAGGAGCU